AACAUUAGUGGUCCAACAUGAUUUAACCUCUUAAAUACAAAGCGAAUAAACUAGCAUGUUACGUUAUAAGCCUGAGAAACGAAACUGAACGAAUAAGAAGCCAACUUCAGCCUUGUUAAUUUCUCUGCAUCGUAGUGUAAAUUGAUGAAACUGGUAUCGGGUGGUUGGUACAGGGAUUGAGUUGUCAUUGGCAGUACUUUACCAGACUUUAAAAGGGCCAGAAGUUGUUGACUUCUUGAAAACUAAAAGAGAGCAAUAAAGUGAACCCUUUGUUGUGGCUGUUUAGCAAGAGUCCAGUACAAGGUAGCCAGACAAUUCUUAAAUGUGCACUUUCUUCUGAUGUUUUGGAUAAAAGUGGAAAAUACUUCAGUAACUGUAUAGAAGUACCACCAGCAACUGAAGCGCAAGAUGAGGAAGGUGCGAAAAGACUGUGGAUGGUUAGUGAGAAAUGGACAAGGUUAAAAUAAGAAAAACCGUUGUUGUAUUACACCGAGAAAUGUUAAUUCUUCUUUAUUUUUAUUAAAUCAGCUAAAAUACAGUGAAACAAAAUAAGUCAUAGAAUUGAAAGUUUGAGCAAGCUUAUAAUUUGAAAAGAAGUCGUUCCAAUAAAUUGUGUUAGUUUAAGAUUGGCAUCACAAUUAUUAGGAUCUCUCGGAUAUUAAUUUAUAUUCAUCUUCAGUCCUAAUAACUGUCACAGUUUUACCAGGAAUAUUUUCGUCAAUACAAAAAACAACCAUCUAUUACAGACAGAUUUCAUUUUGUGUCGGGGCCUGGCAUGGUCUUGCAAUCUGUGGGCCACGGGUUCGAAUCCCACCAUCAAACACGCUCGUCCUUUUAGCCUUUGGGGGCAUAAUAAUGUGGUAGGUAAUGUCCCUAUUUGUAAAAGAGUAGUCCAACAGUUAGCAGUAGGUGGUGUUGACGAGUUGCAUUAUUCAAACUAGGGACAGCUAGUACAAAUAUCCCUAAAGUAGUUUUAUGUGGAAUUCAACAAAUAAACAAACUCUUUGUGUCUAUAAUUAUACAUAAAUCUUUUCUCUUUCUUUGUGUAACAAGAAGUCACCAAAUUUUUUUUUCUAAAUUUUUGAAAUAAUAACCUUAAACUUGUUGGAUUUCAUCAUUCUUGUUUGAUCAGAAGAAGACUGUUUUGAAUAAGAAGUUAAAGAAAAGCAGUUUAAUGUCACCAUAUUAUAUGUUGUUAUUCAUGAAAUUACUAUAUAGCAUAAUUAACAAACAGAGAUUGAAACGGAUCGUUAUGGUAACCCAACUGAUCAAUUCAAUGCAUUUUGGUCAUUAUAAGCUUUUGUCAUACAUUAUUAGUUGUGUUAAAUGAGACACUUCAUGCAGUUUCAAUGAGAAGUUAUUGAUAACAAAAUAGACCUGUUGUUAAUUGGAUCAUUUUUCACUUACGAGACAGUUCCUUCCCUGCCUCCCCCAGUGGCACAGUCUGUGGACUUACAACGCUAGAAUCCUGGUUUCGAUACCCAUGGUAGGCAGAGCACAGAUAGCCCAUUGUUUAGCUUUGUGCUUAAUUACAAACAAACAAACCUUCCCUGCCCUCCCUCUAUUAACUGACAUUUUUCACCAAUGUAAUAUAGUAAGAACCUGACUUGCUGACAACGUACUAUCAAGAAAUUUUCUGAAGAUUUAUAAACAGUUAAAUUGACAAUAUCCCCUGUGAAAUAGCUCAGGAUUAAGCUUGAGGACAUGUAAUACUAAAAUUAGGGGCUCAUAACCUUUGCACAUAACCUGUAGUGUAGCUUUGCACAUAAAAGUUUAUGAGAAAUAUAAACCAAAUUCCAAAUUCCUCUUACUUAAAUAAGUUUUGUAUUCCUCUAGUCAUAAUAUGAAGUCGUAUUUCUGUUAUAAACAUUCCAGCAAUUUCUUUGCACUUUUAGAUUUUCAAAUACACAAAGAAAAGCACUAACUUGAAUUGAGACAAUUUCUACACAGUGUUUUACUCAAGGCACUACUGUUUCACAUAAUCAUAAGUUAUAAGAUUGGAAAAUAUGUAACUUUCCACAAGUCGCACAAGAAGGGAAAAUUCAAUGAAGUUAUUUUUGACAUCUCAAAAGUCAACCAAAAAUGGAUAAACUCACUAAAUUAAUGUAGACAAUAAAUCACACUUUUGGAACAAAGUAUUAGCACAAAGGCUAGAAACUUACUUCAGUACUUUCACUUGUUGUCUUCUGCCUCACACAGUCCCCUGGAAGAAAUUUGCCUGCACAACUUAUGUGAAACCAAACUGUGAAAUUCCCCCGAGGACACAUGUUCUUAAGUUUGGCUUGAAAUGACCUUUUAGCAGUACUAAAAUUUGAUACAUUUUUAAUAGUAUAGCUUUCAACAAUUCUUUAUUUUAUGUAUUUUUUGGUUUUAUCUAUAAUUUUGGCUGAUUUCCAGUUCAUAAGAUGGUUUGAGAAAUAUUACAUUAUAUGUGUUUCCAUUUGUGAUGUCCCUUUUGCAUUCUGUUACUCUUGUGUUUAAAUUUCUUCUUACUUCAUAGACACUUUUUACCUUUUUGUUAGGUAAUUUGUAAAAGUAUUGACGUACUUAUAGGUUAUACAAGAAAUAAUUCUACCUUAGGGUUCCCUUAUUUUGUUCAGAUUUUGUGCUAUAGUUCAAGCAGAGUAGAUUCUGUUUGUUCUCAUUUAUAAAAAGGUUAUGUUGGUUCUCUAACAUUCAUUUAAAGAAAGAUUUUUUUGAGUCUUAGAUGAAUGUAUUUGAUUAAUUGUGAGAUGUUUAUGGUUCAAAGUGUAUUUUACUGUUGAUAAUCUCACUCUGGGCCUUUCAUAGGUAAAAUAAAUUGAACAAAAUCUAAAGAUUUGUAACCCA
RNA transcript from Limulus polyphemus (Atlantic horseshoe crab), 2829 nucleotides. It is a transcript of the gene named retinol dehydrogenase 13-like, with no coding region annotated. Lineage: Eukaryota; Metazoa; Arthropoda; Merostomata; Xiphosura; Limulidae. The transcript has 3 exons. The record is from RefSeq and is a predicted model, not a curated record.